AGAAACGCCUGGUGUUCACUACGCAUACACCCGAAGAGGCAGGUAAUGAAAAGCAUGAUAUUAACCUGUGCCAUAAAAUGAGUUACUUCUGUGGGCUGA
Molecule: unclassified non-coding RNA, 99 nt
Filed under: fungal sp.
Lineage: Eukaryota; Fungi
Description: partial internal transcribed spacer region
Source: RNAcentral